This 704-nucleotide ribosomal RNA is filed under the name uncultured bacterium. Its description in RNAcentral is "bacterial SSU rRNA". It matches the Rfam family "Bacterial small subunit ribosomal RNA", at positions 813 to 1515 of the family's 1533-position model. The record is from RNAcentral.
GUGCUAAGUGUUGGAGGGUUUCCGCCCUUCAGUGCUGCAGCAAACGCAUUAAGCACUCCGCCUGGGGAGUACGACCGCAAGGUUGAAACUCAAAGGAAUUGACGGGGGCCCGCACAAGCGGUGGAGCAUGUGGUUUAAUUCGAAGCAACGCGAAGAACCUUACCAGGUCUUGACAUCCUUUGAACACUCUAGAGAUAGAGCUUUCCCUUCGGGGACAAAGUGACAGGUGGUGCAUGGUUGUCGUCAGCUCGUGUCGUGAGAUGUUGGGUUAAGUCCCGCAACGAGCGCAACCCUUAUUGUUAGUUGCCAUCAUUCAGUUGGGCACUCUAGCGAGACUGCCGGUGACAAACCGGAGGAAGGUGGGGAUGACGUCAAAUCAUCAUGCCCCUUAUGACCUGGGCUACACACGUGCUACAAUGGGAAGUACAACGAGUCGCUAGACCGCGAGGUCAUGCAAAUCUCUUAAAGCUUCUCUCAGUUCGGAUUGCAGGCUGCAACUCGCCUGCAUGAAGCCGGAAUCGCUAGUAAUCGCGGAUCAGCACGCCGCGGUGAAUACGUUCCCGGGCCUUGUACACACCGCCCGUCACACCACGAAAGUUUGUAACACCCGAAGUCGGUGAGGUAACCUUUUUGGAGCCAGCCGCCUAAGGUGGGAUAGAUGAUUGGGGUGAAGUCGUAACAAGGUAGCCGUAUUCGGAAGGUGC